RNAcentral lists this long non-coding RNA (879 nucleotides) under Gossypium raimondii (Peruvian cotton). RNAcentral's name for it is "long non-coding RNA (GRAI_LNC002457)". The record is from RNAcentral. Lineage: Eukaryota; Viridiplantae; Streptophyta; Magnoliopsida; Malvales; Malvaceae.
AUAAUUUCAACGGAACGUAACAGUGACUCUUUGAAUAAGAAAACAGGAAACCCUGGCAAAAGUCCACUGAAAAGAUUAGUAGAAAGAAGCAUAUAUUUGAAACUAAAAACAGAGAUGAAAAGGAAAGAAACAAAGUUAAAUACAUAUUCAUCCAUGAAAUGAAUCUCCAAUGAAUUAGGGGAUUUCAAAAAUCACAAAUAACAGAAACGAUAAACAAAACUUAGGGUUUCUCUACCUAAUGUACCGUAUUUGUGUGUGUGAAGAAAGAAAGGACAAGAAAGGAGGCCGGGAGAAAAAAAACAGGACAGAAGGAAAAUAUUUGAAAAGAAUGGAAAAAACAGUAGUUAAGAAAGGAGAAAGGAACGUUUAGGGUUUAGGUAGAUAAUAGAUCAAACCUUUUCUAACCCCAUAGCGGAGUGGAUUUUUUUGUGAUCAAAUAAAAAUCAAACGGCAAAACUGAGUUGAAACAACUGACUAACGAACAUUAGAAUUCAUCCAGUUUGAUAGUUUGGAGCGAAAAAGGCAGUCAGAGGACCAUAUGAGUGCACCAACACUCGGUACGACACGCACGCAUCUUAUAUGGGUAUGUUUGACUUUUUUUUUUUGGUAAGUUUUUCUCUAUAUUAACCCAACUCUUCAUUUUGCCUAAAUAACUAUCGUGUCUGAAUUCAUCUCCAACACAUGCUCAGACAUGGGCAUCGAGAUAUAGUCCUCCAAAAGUCCUCCAAAUACAUGCAAUCCUAGAAAAAACUGAAAAUACUCAGGUCAGAUGCCUAUGUCCAAUACUUACACCGAAGUCCGAGUAACAUAACCUUUCAUGUAUUUGGAGGGUCAUAUGCUAUACCCACGUCCGGGAAUGUGUUGAACAUGGAUACUUUA